GUGCCGUGAUGCUUAUUUAACACAUCAUUCUUAUUGUAUGGUGAAGAAACUUCAGAAAACUGAGCACU
Molecule: small nucleolar RNA, 68 nt
Organism: Coregonus clupeaformis (lake whitefish)
Lineage: Eukaryota; Metazoa; Chordata; Actinopteri; Salmoniformes; Salmonidae
Product: small nucleolar RNA SNORD63
Exons: 1
Source: RefSeq, a predicted model, not a curated record